Molecule: non-coding RNA, 4250 nt
Organism: Rhopilema esculentum
Lineage: Eukaryota; Metazoa; Cnidaria; Scyphozoa; Rhizostomeae; Rhizostomatidae
Source: RefSeq, a predicted model, not a curated record
AUAAUAAUAAUAAUACUACAUGUUUAUACAGGAUACGCCUUUUCAGUACAAUUAAAGUACUCCUAUCAAUAAGGGUCCUGUUUAAAGAAACUAUUGACAAAGUUAAAAUAUAAUACGAUUAUCGUGCAAAGCUAAGAUAAUCUAUUUUGCGUUUGAAGUUUACAAGGAAAGAUUCGUUCUGAAGGUCGGAUGACAAUCCAUUAAAAAUUAGUGCUCCUUGAAAGGCAAACGUUUUUCUUCCUGCUUCUGUUUGACUCUUGGCAAUAUAAGACGUGAGCCGUUUCCUUGUGUAUCCUUGCCAUGAUUAAAUUGCUGAAACAUGUUUCGCAGUAGUGGAUGGCAAGAAUCAUUUAAAGACUUAAACACGUCGAUCGAUACUCGUUUUUUCCGGAUUUGAUCCACUGUGUCCAUCUUCAGGGUCGUGUUCUUAGUACGAGCUAUGAUCUUAUGGGCUCUGUCUUGGAUUGACUGCAGCUUUUUCUUGGCACUUUCACCUACGCUUAGAUAAAUGGGAUAGCAGUAGAGUAGCACAGGCCUUAUCGUAACGCUAUUUAUUUUCUCCACAACAAGUGGAGAGAUGUUGGGACGAAUUCUUUGCAGGAGUUUUACCCGACUUGAGGCUCGCUUGUAGAUCUUGUCCAUUUGCAUACUCAUUGUUAGGUGACUGUCAAGGGUGAUUCCCAGAUAUUCAUAGCUCGUAGUUUGGUUUAUCGGAGUGCCAUUCAGAGAGACAUUACAUGACGGUUGUUUCGCUAGUUUUUGAUUUGUACCGUAGAUAACGAGUUCAGUUUUGCCUUUUUUGAGAUUCAGUAUUAGAUUAUUGUUCGCAAACCAUUUACCAACUAAGUUUAAUUUAAAAUUAAUAGUCUUAAGCAUAAGGGUCCUUAAGCAAAAAGGCGUCUGCUGGUAAUUAAAAUAUAUCUAUUUAGAACAUAUUAUUUAAUAGCUUGGUAAAUUUAAGAUUAAUAGAUGGCACUUAAAAGGAGAUGCUUUACAUUUGUAUCGACACAAUGGAAAAUGAUAGACACGGAUAAACCACAGGUAAAUCAAACAAUGAUUUCAAAUAUGAUAAGCUGGUGUUAUUUCAAAGAAGUAGUUUUCAACGAAGCACUGGGGCAGUAGUGUUUCUUUAAAUUGAAAGCAUCAAACCUUGGAAAUUAUCCGUGCUUUAUUCUUUAUAAGUAAGUAUUUUAUUGAAAAGGAUCCUUACCACAAGGAGGAUAUCGUAGUAGGGCAUUGACAGAGGAAAAGCAUGGAAGAAAAAAAACGCAAUGCAAGGGAAAAAAGAAUUAGUUUACAGAAUGUCAUGCACAGAUGCUUGCUUAUUUAAAGAAAUCACAACGGGUAAGUUCAUUUCGGUGCCUUACAACUGUUGAAUGAUAUGUUAUGAAUGAAUUUGCCUAGAACAAUGUUUAGCUUUCUGGCAACCUAAAAAUUAGAUUCGUCAAAGGCAACAUACAGGUGCAUACAGGAGCCAUUGACAAAUAGCCAAUCAAUAAUUGUGAUACAACACACAUGCUUAUUGGAUGGCCAAUUAAAAAUGACAGAUGGCUUCAGCCACUUUAGCAUCUGGCGAUCGUUCCACGGCAGACAAUUGUGCCGUUGUCACGUGUACCGUAGGAACUCCUUCAAUGUUCUGUCAAUUGUUCUUAAAAUACACUGUUCUUAAAAUGGUUUUAAAAAAAGCAAACAUUUCACAGCAUACUUCUAAAAGCUUUUUUGUCUGACACGCCUCAUGUUUUCCCAUUGCUAACAAUUAACUCUAGAGUACUGCUAGAAUAUCAACUUAAUUUCUGCCUUUUCCUGAAUAAACAUAUUUCUAUAUAAAAACAAGAUGAAACUCUCCCUCAGUCUUUACAUUAACUCAAUUCGCAAAGGAUGCUUAGAAGAAUUCGAUGAUGUGGCCCAAAUACGCUUAAAAUUCACAACUUACCAGCGAAUUGAACUCGUGCGAAUCAACGUCGGGGGAUCUUUCUGCUCCAUCGAUGAUUGUUCGCAGCUUGUAAAUGGUGAUAGUAAUGUUAGCAAGCAGUACCGACAGAGCAAAUAAGGCCACCUCUAGAAUAAGCGAAAAGGAAAAGUGCAGGAAAACUAGUUUGCGCUUGUCAUCUUCUUCUUCGUUUUUGUUUCGCCGCAUCUUUUCGACUUGUAAUAUUCGAAACACGAUGCUAGCUAGGGUAAACAUCGUCGUAACAAUCGCAAGAACGACAAUCAGCUUCGCCUACGGGAGAAGAUGAUAGUUAAAACAAAGCAAUGAAGGAUAUAACAGACAGGCAUCCAUGACAGUUGCAGAAAGAGCAUUGGAUUGCGGACCCCCUCAUGAAAAAACAGUAGAUUCAAAAUACCUUUAUUAUUAAGACGAUAUUUUAUUCUAAUUUGAAUGUGAUGAUUAUGGGAUAAUCUUCUGACCAAAAAGCAUCGCUGCCUUGAAGUUUUUGCAACAUAUUAAGUAUUAAAGCUGUUGAAAUAUUCUAUUGAAAGACUUCUUACCAAACACCAUCUUUUACGGAUCCUUGGUUUGUAAACAUAGGUAAGUCCUAAUAUGCCAGCAAUCGCAGCCUGUAAAAGAAGGGAUUUAUUUCAUAUUUCGACGCCCUGAUAGAUACAUAUAAAACAAGACAAAUUCCAUUGAAACCCUACACAGAAGGUAAGCUAUUCCAGUGACGAAAAAACCAUAAAUCCACGUAGAAGAUUUUUUGGCCUCACUACUAGAAAUUCGUUCUAAUAUAUCAACCAUAUUCAUGCAACUGGUGUGAAUUCGGUUUGUACGCAAUAGUCAAAUCUUUAACUUUUCAUAAAUAUCAAUAAUCGUAAUUUUUAAUAAUCUUUUAGCAUUCUGCAUAUUAACUAAGCGUUUAGUCAAGGCAGAAAGAUCAAUUUAUUGAAAUAAAUGCUUGCUGUUACAAAAAGUGCAAGUCAGUACAAGAACCUUUUACGUUGUCAUAGGUUCUAUAAUGUUUGAGGAUGUCAAUUUUUACAAUAUUUUAAUAUUUAUGUUAACGCUGAUAUCAUAAAGUACAAACAGUCAGCAUUAACUGAAUCAAAGAAAUCAGGCUUUCAAACAUGGGCUGGUCAAGGCUGUAUUUAAAACCAUUCAGUCCUGUGAAAAAAUAUGCUAGAACGAAGCAGUUCGUGCUGUUAUUUUUUCUUUAUUUAUUUAAAGGCAGUCUGUCCCCUCCAUGAUUGGCUAAUAUGAAAAAUAGGUCUUCCCACCUUAACGGAUAACAAAUUACAAUGCUUGCUUUGGCAGGCCUAGCUGCGGUAGUGGACGACAUUUAAAACUGCGAGCAAAAAGCUAUCGGAAAUGUCAAGAAGAUUUAAUUACUGAAAUUAAAUGAUGAUAAUGGAAGCAUUUCCUUUCGCUGUUGACUUAUUUGUCGCAGAAACCAAACAGAGAGCAAUAUUUUUCUAGCCACAGCUUCACUACAACGGGAAAACAGGCAUUUGAUUCGAAAGCUCUGUAAUCAAAGUUGCCUCUGAUUGGUGUUCAAAAGUUUAUUCAUAAUCAUCACGAGCUAUUCUCGUUGCUCUUUCAUGAAUCCGGUUUAUCCGGCUAUUACUUUUCCUACUGCAAAACAUCCAAAAAAGAGGACAAUAACUAAAAUGUGAUAAUAUGAACGUUUUCAUUGAAAGAAUUCGCUUAGAUUCGUCCAUAUACGAAGCAAUCCUGGCUAGAGAGUACAUGGAUACAUGUUCUGAUCUCAAAAUGAAACAGAGUAUUAGCAUCUAAGAUGGUUGCUAAGAGAGAUGUAACUUUGGCUGACAGCUUAAGAAUAAAUGUCAUUAAUACCUAAAUUUUAGUUGUAAUGUGAUUAAUCUUGUAGUUGUAAUCAAGGUCGAUAAAAAUUAAUUUCAGCAAUAAUAUAUACCGCAAAUCAAUAAAAAUGAGAAAUUUUGCAGCUUUUGAAAAUAGUCACAAUAACACAUUUCUUAAGCCGGUUUAAGAAAAGAAGGUCAAAAUCUAAGAAGUACAUGCCAUUAGCUAGCUACUCGUCUUGCUGGCUUUCCGCUAAACAUUAUUUGCGUAAUUUUGCUUUACUGUGGUUUCUUUCUUUGUUCUAUACAGCAGUGGUGCCGUGGAGGGGGCUCAGAGAGCUCAGACCCCUUGUUAAAAAUUUAGAGAUUUUUUUGGGGGGUGGGGGGGGAUGGUGCUCAGACACGUAAAAGACAAAAGCGGUCACAGCUUGAGUUUGGAGGUUGCGCUUUUUGGAGAGAGAUGCAUGUUGCUUCGAGGUUUUCUUAAUAAGGGU